UGAAUACGAGAUGCUACGGCGUCGAAGCAGUCUAUGUCAUACUUCCAAGAAAAGCUCGCACUGUCAUAAACAAAUAAUGCCUGUACCAUAACCGACACAGGUGGGUAGGUAGAGUAUACUAAGGGGCGCGAGAUAACUCUCUCUAAGGAACUCGGCAAAAUGACUCCGUAACUUCGGGAGAAGGAGUGCCUUAUUUAUAAGGUUGCAAUAACAAGAUCCAAGCAACUGUUUAUCAAAAACACAGGUCUCCGCUAAGUCGUAAGACGAUGUAUGGGGGCUGACGCCUGCCCAGUGCCAGAAGGUUAAAGAAGUUGGUUAGCAUUCGCGAAGCUGAUAACUGAAGCCCUGGUGAACGGCGGCCGUAACAAUAACGGUCCUAAGGUAGCGAAAUUCCUUGUCGGGUAAGUUCCGACCCGCACGAAAGGCGUAAUGAUUUGGAUACUGUCUCGGAGAGGGGCUCGGUGAAAUAGACUUGUCUGUGAAGAUGCGGACUACCUGCACCAGGACAGAAAGACCCUAUGAAGCUUUACUGUAACUUGAGAUUGAAAUUGGACUUUACUUGCGCAGUAUAGGUGGGAGGCGUUGAUAAUAUUCUUGCGGGAUUAUUUGAGCCAUCAGUGAGAUACCACUCUUGUAAUGUUAGAUUUCUAACUUUGUAUCAUUAUCUGGUCAAAGGACAGUUUCAGGCGGGCAGUUUGACUGGGGCGGUCGCCUCCUAAACGGUAACGGAGGCGCACAAAGGUUUCCUCUGAACGGGUAGAAAUCGUAUCUAGAGUGUAAAGGCAUAAGGAAGCUUGACUGUGAGACCUACAAGUCGAGCAGGGACGAAAGUCGGUCUUAGUGAUCUGACGGUGCUGAGUGGAAAGGCCGUCACUCAACGGAUAAAAGUUACUCUAAGGAUAACAGGCUGAUCUCCCCCAAGAGUUCACACCGACGGGGAGGUUUGGCACCUCGAUGUCGGCUCAUCGCAUCCUGGGGCGGUAGUACGUCCCAAGGGUUGGGCUGUUCGCCCAUGAAAGCGGUACGCGAGCUGGGUUCAGAACGUCGUGAGACAGUUCGGUCCAUAUCCGGUGUAGGCGUUAGAAUAUUGAGAGGAGCCUUCUUUAGUACGAGAGGACCGAGAAGGACAUACCUCUGGUGUACCAGUUAUCGUGCCAACGGUAAACGCUGGGUAGCUAUGUAUGGAGUGGAUAACCGCUGAAAGCAUCUAAGUGGGAAGCCCACCUCAAGAUAAGUAUUCUCAUC
RNAcentral lists this ribosomal RNA (1245 nucleotides) under metagenome. RNAcentral describes it as "bacterial LSU rRNA". It matches the Rfam family "Bacterial large subunit ribosomal RNA", at positions 1564 to 2818 of the family's 2925-position model. The record is from RNAcentral.